GCCGGGCACGGUGGCGCGUGCCUGUAGUCCCAGCUACUCAGGCGGUUGAGGUGGGAGGAGUGCUUGAGCCCAGGAGUUCUGGGCUGUAGUGCGCUAUGCUGAUCGGGUGUCUGCACUAAGUUCAGCAUCAAUAUGGUGACCUCCCGGGAGCGGGGGACCACCAGGUUGCCUAAGGAGGGGUGAACCCACCCAGGUCGGAAACUCCCGUGCUGGUCAGUAGUGGGAUCGAGCCUGUGAAUAGCCACUGCACUCCAGCCUGCGUAACAUAGCAGGACCCUGUCUCA
RNAcentral lists this signal recognition particle RNA (284 nucleotides) under Saimiri boliviensis boliviensis (Bolivian squirrel monkey). RNAcentral describes it as "Metazoan signal recognition particle RNA (ENSSBOG00000009226.1)". It matches the Rfam family "Metazoan signal recognition particle RNA". From Rfam's summary of the family: The signal recognition particle (SRP) is a universally conserved ribonucleoprotein. It is involved in the co-translational targeting of proteins to membranes. Lineage: Eukaryota; Metazoa; Chordata; Mammalia; Primates; Cebidae. The record is from RNAcentral.